This 1091-nucleotide ribosomal RNA is filed under the name Bacteroides thetaiotaomicron. RNAcentral describes it as "partial 16S ribosomal RNA". Lineage: Bacteria; Pseudomonadati; Bacteroidota; Bacteroidia; Bacteroidales; Bacteroidaceae. The record is from RNAcentral.
UUGGGAUUAGCAUCCUGUCACCAGGUAGCUGCCUUCUGUACCCCCCAUUGUAACACGUGUGUAGCCCCGGACGUAAGGGCCGUGCUGAUUUGACGUCAUCCCCACCUUCCUCACAUCUUACGACGGCAGUCUCUCUAGAGUCCUCAGCAUGACCUGUUAGUAACUAAAGAUAAGGGUUGCGCUCGUUAUGGCACUUAAGCCGACACCUCACGGCACGAGCUGACGACAACCAUGCAGCACCUUCACAUUUGCCUUACGGCUAUACUGUUUCCAAUAUAUUCAAAUGCAAUUUAAGCCCGGGUAAGGUUCCUCGCGUAUCAUCGAAUUAAACCACAUGUUCCUCCGCUUGUGCGGGCCCCCGUCAAUUCCUUUGAGUUUCACCGUUGCCGGCGUACUCCCCAGGUGGAAUACUUAAUGCUUUCGCUUGGCCGCUUACUGUAUAUCGCAAACAGCGAGUAUUCAUCGUUUACUGUGUGGACUACCAGGGUAUCUAAUCCUGUUUGAUACCCACACUUUCGAGCAUCAGUGUCAGUUGCAGUCCAGUGAGCUGCCUUCGCAAUCGGAGUUCUUCGUGAUAUCUAAGCAUUUCACCGCUACACCACGAAUUCCGCCCACCUCUACUGUACUCAAGACAGCCAGUAUCAACUGCAAUUUUACGGUUGAGCCGCAAACUUUCACAACUGACUUAACUGUCCACCUACGCUCCCUUUAAACCCAAUAAAUCCGGAUAACGCUCGGAUCCUCCGUAUUACCGCGGCUGCUGGCACGGAGUUAGCCGAUCCUUAUUCAUAUGGUACAUACAAAAUUCCACACGUGGAAAACUUUAUUCCCAUAUAAAAGAAGUUUACAACCCAUAGGGCAGUCAUCCUUCACGCUACUUGGCUGGUUCAGGCCUGCGCCCAUUGACCAAUAUUCCUCACUGCUGCCUCCCGUAGGAGUUUGGACCGUGUCUCAGUUCCAAUGUGGGGGACCUUCCUCUCAGAACCCCUAUCCAUCGAAGGUUUGGUGAGCCGUUACCUCACCAACUGCCUAAUGGAACGCAUCCCCAUCGAUAACCGAAAUUCUUUAAUAAUAAGACCAUGCGGUNUNAU